AGUGAACGCUGGCGGUAGGCCUAACACAUGCAAGUCGAACGGCAGCACAGUAAGAGCUUGCUCUUACGGGUGGCGAGUGGCGGAAGGGUGAGGAAUACAUCGGAAUCUACUUUUUCGUGGGGGAUAACGUAGGGAAACUUACGCUAAUACCGCAUACGACCUACGGGUGAAAGCAGGGGAUCUUCGGACCUUGCGCGAUUGAAUGAGCCGAUGUCGGAUUAGCUAGUUGGCGGGGUAAAGGCCCACCAAGGCGACGAUCCGUAGCUGGUCUGAGAGGAUGAUCAGCCACACUGGAACUGAGACACGGUCCAGACUCCGACGGGAGGCAGCAGUGGGGAAUAUUGGACAAUGGGGGCAAGCCUGAUCCAGCCAUACCGCGUGGGUGAAGAAGGCCUUCGGGUGGUAAAGCCCUUUUGUUGGGAAAGAAAAGCAGCAGGUUAAUACCCCGCUGUUCUGACGGUACCCAAAGAAUAAGCACCGGCUAACUUCGUG
RNAcentral lists this ribosomal RNA (492 nucleotides) under uncultured bacterium. RNAcentral describes it as "partial 16S ribosomal RNA". It matches the Rfam family "Bacterial small subunit ribosomal RNA", at positions 29 to 507 of the family's 1533-position model. The record is from RNAcentral.